AAUGUCAUCAUGAUGGCAGAAACUAGAAAUUAUAUAUUUUAGUUGAAUUGUGGUUCUGGACCUUUCUUUAUUCUUUCCACACAUUAUAUUCUCAAACUUUCUCCUCCAAGACUCCAAGUAUAUAGAUGCCAGCCUAUAACACCUCAAAAACUAAACAAUACCUACCUUCCAAUACCCUCUAAGUGACUAUCUCUCUGUGGUGUUGUAUUUUUGGUUUGCAUUUCAGAGAUGAAUGAUCCCAAAUAUGGCUAUCCAUAUGCCAAUCAAGGCCCUUAUCAAGGACCACCAGUGGCGGCACCUCCUCAGUACUAUGCAGCUCCACCACCACCUAGGCGAGAACCAAGUUUUCUUGAGGGAUGCCUUGCAGCUUUAUGUUGUUGUUGCCUCUUAGAUGAGUGUUGCUGUGACCCAUCCAUUAUAUUUGUUACCUAAUACUUUGUAUACUACAUGUAGAACUAUAUUACCUUGUAUAUGUGAAAGGGUCUUAUAUAUAUAUUCCUCUGUAAUAUACUUAAUACAUAUUCUGAUCAGUUCUAAUGCC
Quercus lobata is the source of this 541-nucleotide long non-coding RNA. RefSeq lists it as uncharacterized. NCBI's taxonomy places the organism in Eukaryota, Viridiplantae, Streptophyta, Magnoliopsida, Fagales, Fagaceae. The record is from RefSeq and is a predicted model, not a curated record. The transcript is spliced from 3 exons.